Long non-coding RNA from Musa acuminata subsp. malaccensis (wild Malaysian banana), 1832 nucleotides. RefSeq lists it as uncharacterized. The record is from RefSeq and is a predicted model, not a curated record. Lineage: Eukaryota; Viridiplantae; Streptophyta; Magnoliopsida; Zingiberales; Musaceae.
AUUACUCGAAUCUUUCCGCGUUAACAUCCGCUCCCAAAGGCCAGUAGUCGAUCGAUCUCUCCAAACCAGGCCAAGCCCUAGAAAUCUUGCGAUCCCUUGAGAUCCAAGCGGAGCUGCAACGAGACCUCAGCAAGAAGCGCUCGGAUUCGAACAUAAAGAAGACCAAAUCAGUAAAGGCGCGAUCGCAGCAGCAACAGAACGGCCACGCCCUUACGUCUAAACUCGCCAACUUGCUCGAUCCUGAGGCCUCUUGGGAUAAGGAUCAAUUGGGGGACGUUCUGCACUGAAUGCGGCAAGCGUUGGGCCUCGUGUGUGGUUUGCUGUGGGGUGCCUAUUCCCUUGGGUGGUGCUACCUGGAUUGUUGUCUUGCUUGGAUUCUUGUAUACAGUUUGGCACACUUUUAAACAGCUGUUAUCUGCUGAACCACGUGGAGCCCCAUCUUUUGAUCUCCCAUGAAAUGAGAACUAGCAGUGGCUUUGUUAGUUAGAGAUAUUUUUGGUAUAUUGAUUUCUACCAUAUGGGCUGAGAGCAUUUGUUUUAUAGUACUUAGUAGUGCCAAGGGAUUCCUCUUUGCAUUAUUUCUCACCAUCCAUAGUGUUUGACAUUACUAUACUUGUUGCAGUUGUGAAGGGCACAAUUCCAGGGAAAAUCCCUAUGCUCAUCAAAGAGGAUUAUUCGUGAACAAAGUUUAAUCAGUGUGGUAUAGUCCUUAACAAAGUAUUUGUUUUCCUGUGCUGAAAUAAUUGCAGCAAGCAAUCACAUGCCAGACUAAGCAAGAAGAGCAUGAGAGGUGAUUUGAUAGUUUGUUCAUCCAACAGAAGAAAAGCCUCCUAAAAGAAUUCAGACGUACCAAAGAGAAGGACAAUUAUGGCACCUUUUGGAGUUUGCAACAUUAUUCCAGGUAUGAGCUGUAUUUUAAUGGUUGUAUGCAGCCUCUUCAUUUAGUUUCUACAAGACCAAGCUCUUUCAGCAGGGAAUGAAAAAUAAUUCAACUUAUAAACAACCCAAUCCUUAUGUCUCACAUCAAUAAAGGAUUAAACUUUUAAAACGACAUGUGGAUGAGGACUCCCUUCCAUGAUAAUGAUUUUUUUUUAAAAAAAAUUGUUAUUAUCAAAUGAUAUACAUAAUGUUUAUAUAUGGAUUCGAAGUUGAAACCUAUUACUCGUUAUAAUGAUAUACUAAUCAACCUAGAUGCCAUAAUAGAGACCACAAAAUAACAAUUCAAACAUAUAUUUUUUGAAUAAAAAUAAUUUGGAAAACAUUUCACUAAUUGCUCAUAGUUAGGGGUCUCAAGUUAUAAAUAGAAAAUUCUUUCAUGAUGAUCCAAGUUCUUCUCUCAUUUUUAUACUGUAUACAUCACACCUUGGGAAUUCUUUGACUCGAGUGUCGAAGAGAUCGUUCCAAAAAUUUACCUUGCAGUGAUCUUCACUUGCAGGUGGGGGUGUGAGAGUUGUGUCUUACUUGGGAUGUUUAUAAUGUCGAUUUUCUUUCCUUAAGAUCUGUAUUGAAUUAUGAUUCUCAGUGCAUGUCAAGAUUCAAGAUUAGGAUCAAAUUGGAUUGUCUCUGUCUCUCCAUAAUAAGGAUCAAUGAUAGGGACGAACAAUUAUCAUCAUAUAUUGAUUAUUAUCUUAAUAUCUUUGGGCUUAUAAACUAAAAGAUAUUAAAGGAUUUGACUCUUGUUUGAACAUACUUAAAACUCAAUCCCAAUUCUCCAACUCGUAAAAAGAGAGGUCUCCCACUUCCCUAUCCUUUGCCGUCGCCACAACAGUCGUCGGAUUCCCCUUCACAUCCGUGGGUUCAGAAGCCGUGCAAACACAGAGACAAGAGUUAAA